GGGGGCGGUGAGAUGCGGCGGGUGCCGACGAUCCCAGCUCCGGAGCCGGGCUGCAGCGUGCUCCUCCUGCCCUGAGGGGCUGCAGGGAGCCCUCUGCCCUCUGCUUUCCCCAGGGCACAGCCGCUGGUGCAGUUUCGGGGUGCUGGAGUACGUUUCCCGGGUAUACAAGGGGCUGCAAAAGGAGGCUUGGUUGUAGGACCAACAGCAGCCACGCAGCUCCUGAGAUAACUCCCGAGAUAGGUCCUAAGAUAGGGCCUGAAAUAACUCCUCAGAUAGGUCAUAGGAUGGGUCCUAAGAUAGGUCCCUCAUAGGCUCCACACACCCCCCCCCCCAUCUGCUCUGGGCAGCAUAAGGCCCAAUGAAGGGUCGCCAGCAGCAACGCUGCCCCUGAGGCCUCAGCAUGGAAAUAAGCACAGAGCCCUGCAAACGCCUCCCCUGAUCCAUGGGUGGAGAAAUCCCCCCCCGCCCCGGGCUGGAAGGAGCGCACGGCUCCGUGCAAAGCCCCGCAGCCCCCACCAGGAAUGCUCACACACCGCAGCGCUCUCAGCCCAUGCAGGAGCUGCUCCCCAACGUUCCCCUUUGCUUUUUAUCACCAGCCGAAGGGAAGGGAUUCGCUCCUCGCUCCCAGACAGUUCCUAUAAAGCAAACAAAGCCAAAAGCACGGAGGCCAUAGGAGCACCGGACUGCACGGUGCACAAACCCGGCACUGAGUCACCGCUUUAAACCUUAAUCCCCACCCCCGCGUUGCAUCGAAGAGGUGAAGAUGUGAUGCAAAGUUUUGACUUCAGCUGGAAAGAGGGAAUAAACCACCUCGCAUGAAGUGGGAUGCAGGGCAUGCAGCCACGGACAGCCACAGGUGAGAGGAAGGAGACUCCGAAGCCCCCCCCUGAGAUGCCCUGCAGACCUCCCCGGAUCCAAAUGGAGAGGAUGGAAGAAAGGAACCGAUUGCAUCAACACCUCGAGGGGGGGGGGGCUGCAAAGAGGGAACGUGGAUCACGCUGAAGGAGGUGGGUUUGGGCGUUCUGAAGCAGCCACCUGCAGCCCUUCUGCUCUCACUUGAUUUCGGGAGCUGCACUGAAGCCACACGAGAAGCUCUCAGCCCUCGGUUAUAAAAGCCAGGGGAGACAAAACCAGGCAGCAGAGGGGAGCACAGAAGGCACCGAGGUGAACUUUUCCAGCGCCGGAUGGAUAUUUUUACAGUGCUGUAAACCCUCUGAGGGUGAGAAUGAGAAAUGUGGGACGGCACUCCUCUGCCUGAGCUCCCCUCUCCUGGCAGAGCUAUUCCUGCACUCACCCAGGAGCAGGGAACUGCUCCCAUGACGUCAAAGCAGUUUCCCAGCAACAGCGAAGGAGGGCUGUCCACCACGGGGCUUUCCUGAAAAGCGAGCAUGGAAUCAUCCACCUACUUUCUGCAGUGUCAAGAUGCGAUAGGGCAGCACGGCAGUGGGACUUCUGCUAGCUCCCCUCGUGCUGCCGCGCUCCUCCAGGGCUCUCCCCGUGCUAAGCAGCAGCAGCAGCAGCAGCACUGGAAGUUGGCUGAGAGCACGGAUUCCUCAGCUCAGCUCACCACGAAGCCAGCUGCAAACGCUGGGUAUCGCAGCAGGGGUGACGAGCAGGAGAGGUGUUCCUGCUUAGCUGCAGCAAGAGGACCGCGGGGCUGCUGCCUGCAGGUCCUGCAGCCACAGGUGGUGGCUUCUGUUCUAAAAGAGCACUGUAAGGAGGUGAAGGGAAGGGAUGCACCGGCAGGUCUGGUGCACCAAAUAAGAGACCCUGCAGUGCUGUACGUGGCCCAGCGCUGGGAAUAGCUCCUAGCACUGAAAAUCAGAUGGAGGGAACGUUCCUUCAGCAGCGGCGCGAGGAGGAGGCAAAGGGAAUGGAUCCAACCAAACCCAGCUGAAAAACCAAACCUGCUGCAACCAAACCCAGUUUGCAGCAAGCUUUUAGACACACCGUGGGAUUAAUAUGAACACGCGGGUGCAAAUACAGCACGAGCAGCCCUACAGAACACCAAACUGAGGGAAGCAAACUCAACCUUUCCCAUGGCCAGUGAACAAGCAGCCACGUUCUGUGACGAAGCAGCCAGCUUCCAUGCAGUACAGCCCCGAAAGCACAGCCCAGCACAGCAGCACGGAGCGCUGUGCCAAAGGAAAAGGAAGAGCCCAGAGGGAGCUGCACAAAGCCCAGCCCAGGCUGGGAGAGCCCACGAGGGGAACUCCUCGCUGACACAGCACGGCAGCAAUCAGGGAUUCCCCCGCUCCUGCAGGUGCACUCUGAGCAUCACAAAAGGAAAGCUCAGUUCUGGCACCGCAUCCCCAGUGGGAGCAGAGCUGAGGAGCCGUUCCAUGACGGCACGGCGUUAAACGAAGCCCAUCGAGCAGCAGGAAUAGGCACUUACCGGAGGUGAGCGACGUCAGGUCCCCAUCCCUGAACCACUUGCCUGCUGUACCUACGCUGUACUUUGCACAGUGGUGGUGGGGGGGAGAUGAAAAGAGAAGCCUCGGGUCACUCCUGCUCAAGCCCCAGAUAUCAGGCAGCUGAGCUCUAUAAAGGAACUCACCCCUGAGGCUCCGUGCUCCCCGCAGUCACCUGUCCCCUAAUCCCCACACACCCUCCAUUGCCACAGCUGGCUCAGGAGGAAUGCUGCCGGGCUCAUUUUGCUCCCUGGAAGCCCCCAACCUGCUUCCCACCCCCCUCCCCAACGAUCGCAGCGCUGCGCCGAGCAGCUCCGAGGCAAAGCAGAGCCCAACUGUGGGGAGGGAUGGCACAGAGCUCUGCCAAUCGCCACAUGCACACCCCCUCCUGCUCUCAUUCAAACCCUUCAGUGGAACUGCCUCCGCAGAGCCCCGACAAGGCUUUAAAGACACAGCAUCUUCCUGAGCACCGUGGGGCAGGAUGCGACGGCACCGAGCACGCUUCGGAGGACCCCACGUGCAUGGAGCGAUGCAAUACAGACAGGAAGCAAGAAAUGCAAACGAGCCUGGAGAAGUUUCAGCUUUCCCCUGCAGAGCUGAUCUCCAGCAGAGAGACGCCAGGCAGAGGGCUGAGCAGGACAGAGCACGGAACCCUGCAAGCCCACGCAGCACAGAUGCACCUCCCGGCCUUCCUCCUGCAGCCACAGAGCCGCCUCGCUGCGAGGCAGCAGCACUGUGUCUCCCAGAUGCAAAGAGGGAGAUGGUUUCCUAAGCUGCACCUUUCUCCUGGGACGCAUCUUUCUCUUUAGAUGGGGACACGGCAGACCCUGGGUGGGAGGAGGAGUGUGUGGCUGCAGCCUGGGUGAGCCUCACACAGCACUGCCUUGCACACCUGGGAGUCCUCUGCUCAGGUAACGUGUGCGUGUUUACACACUCAUGCAUUGAGACCACGCUGUGCUUCACCCUGAUGGGUUUCUGGUGAAAGAAAGCUGUGGAUGUAACGCAUCAGAAGGGAAAAGCCCUCAGCAUCGUGGCAAUGACCCGGCAGGGGCUGCAGUGCCAACGUGUGUGUCAGCCCAGGACAGGGAUUCCCUGCGUGACAGACGCACACCAGGCAGCAGCAGUGUGCCCUGGGCAGGAGAGCAUCGUGGGCUCGGGCUGCACCACUCACCAGAGCAGGAAACCGCCCCUGCCCUUAGAAAAGGGAAGAGAAAAAAAAUCACACAGGCGAGCCUGGAACAGAGUCCUCACUGCACGUCAGCCAACAGCGCUCCUCUGCCAUCCGCCACACUGCACAGGGAUGGAGGAAAGCUGGGCACGCUGCAGGAAAACGGCUCCACGGACACUCAGGAGCAAAGCAGCACCUGUGGAGGCAGCGGGAUCCGUGCAGCUGGGAUGGACCACACGCUCUGAUCCUUCUGAUGGGAGCUGGUGAGAAAAGGAGACUCCUCAGCAGGGCUGGGAGUGACAGAGGAGUCCUACAGCCAACGCAGCUCUGUUAUCAGGUGUGGAGAGGCCGCGAUAAGGGAGCGAGGGGCAGAGCAAAGGGGAGCAACAGUGACUGCGGGGUGGAGAGUCCACCAGCAGAAGCCAACUCAGUCCUGGGCUGACGGGGAUGGCAGCUCAGAGCAGGAACUCUGAAUGGGCUCUGCUCUUGGACGGGAAUAACCAGCUCGAUGCCCCCAAGAAGUGGGAUCCGAGAUCCAGGAGUCGCAGCCGGCGCUGCCCACAGGAUAAAGAAAACAGAGCACCAUCAAAUUUAAUUCUAAGGGAUUUUCCAUUCAGCUCUGGCUCAGCUGAGGAUGCACACCCAUGGCAACAGCCCUUCCCUAUCCCCCCCCCAGCACCCAACCCACAGAUGUGUGCUGGCUGCAGCUGUGCCCCCGUGGCCCCUCCAAGCGUGACGUGCACCAGAUCUGUCAAUGGCUCAGGACAGACACGUGGGCAGCGAUGAGCAGCGGAGGAACGUAACGAGCUCCCAUUCAGCUCCAAACCCUGAUAAAUAAUUCAGGAAGAGAAAAUGCCGCAAUACAGAGCGCAGCACCGUUUAAAAAUAGAACGUGUGCUGCUGCUGCUGCCGCUGCUGCCAGAGGAACAGGGAGGGAGGAAAGCAGAGAGGUGGCACCAACGGAGCACGCGUUGGGUUGUUGGCCCUUCCAAUUAGGAAUCCCCCACUCUGGGCGUUACAGCGGCAGCAGCCAGGGCUGCCCCUGCUGGAGGAGAGCCCCGCAGCCAUGCAUGCAUGCAAGGAAGGGAAAAGCCUCCAGGCUGUACAGCCUGCAGCAAGAGCAGCGUGGGAGCAGGGCCGGGGUGCUGGGUGGCAUCCAGCCGUGCACAGCUCCAGAGCUCAGCUCCAUUUGCCCCAGUGUUCCCUGCAGGGCAGAGGUGAACGCUGCCGUUCUCUCCUGAGUUGUGCCACCCUGUGUGCAAAUGCUUCCACUCCGAUCUCAGAGCCACCACCAGCCGUUCCGUGCCGAUGAAUGCUUCUGCAUUGCAAAGAGCAACCUGGCACCACCAGCACCCCGUCAGGCCGAAAGCACGGAGACCAACCUGCCACCUCGUCCCCAGAUCCCACCACCCCGUGCUAAAAACCUUUGUGCCAACGUAAGACCUUCACCGGCCUUAGCAUGUCUGCUUGGCUUUGCGUGGUGAGAAGGAAGAACGAUGAGAGACGUCGCCGACGGCAUUGUGGUGUUCAAGUUUUCCCCUUCCAGACCCCCUCACAUUCCCUAUUUCCCAGCGGGCGCAAAGCAGCUCCGUCCCUCAUUGCGUCGUGCAGCAGAACCCGCAUGGACAGAUGGCUGCUCCCCUCCUCGCCGGGGAGCUUCAAAAAAUAACACCAAAAUGACACCCA
This is a long non-coding RNA of Gallus gallus (chicken), 5265 nucleotides long. RefSeq lists it as uncharacterized. The transcript has 2 exons. The record is from RefSeq and is a predicted model, not a curated record. NCBI's taxonomy places the organism in Eukaryota, Metazoa, Chordata, Aves, Galliformes, Phasianidae.